GACGAACGCUGGCGGCGUGCUUAACACAUGCAAGUCGAACGGAAAGGCCCCCUUGUGGGGUACUCGAGUGGCGAACGGGUGCGUAACACGUGAGUAACCUACCCUUGACUUUGUGAUAACUUCAGGAAACUGGGGCUAAUACCUGAUAGGAGCUCCUGCUGCAUGGUGGGGGUUGGAAAGUUUCGGCGGUUGGGGAUGGACUCGCGGCUUAUCAGCUUGUUGGUGGGGUAGUGGCUCACCAAGGCUUUGACGGGUAGCCGGCCUGAGAGGGUGACCGGCCACAUUGGGACUGAGAUACGGCCCAGACUCCUACGGGAGGCAGCAGUGGGGAAUAUUGCACAAUGGGCGGAAGCCUGAUGCAGCAACGCCGCGUGCGGGAUGACGGCCUUCGGGUUGUAAACCGCUUUCGCCUGUGACGAAGCGUGAGUGACGGUAAUGGGUAAAGAAGCACCGGCUAACUACGUG
Molecule: ribosomal RNA, 465 nt
Filed under: uncultured bacterium
Lineage: Bacteria
Description: partial 16S ribosomal RNA
Rfam family: Bacterial small subunit ribosomal RNA
Source: RNAcentral